Molecule: ribosomal RNA, 490 nt
Filed under: uncultured bacterium
Lineage: Bacteria
Description: partial 16S ribosomal RNA
Rfam family: Bacterial small subunit ribosomal RNA
Source: RNAcentral
AUUGAACGCUGGCGGCAGGCCUAACACAUGCAAGUCGAACGGUAACAGGAAGCAGCUUGCUGCUUUGCUGACGAGUGGCGGACGGGUGAGUAAUGUCUGGGAAACUGCCCGAUGGAGGGGGAUAACUACUGGAAACGGUAGCUAAUACCGCAUAACGUCGCAAGAUCAAAGAGGGGGACCUUAGGGCCUCUUGCCAUCGGAUGUGCCCAGAUGGGAUUAGCUAGUAGGUGGGGUAACGGCUCACCUAGGCGACGAUCCCUAGCUGGUCUGAGAGGAUGACCAGCCACACUGGAACUGAGACACGGUCCAGACUCCUACGGGAGGCAGCAGUGGGGAAUAUUGCACAAUGGGCGAAAGCCUGAUGCAGCCAUGCCGCGUGUAUGAAGAAGGACUUCGGGUUGUAAAGUACUUUCAGCGGGGAGGAAGGGAAUAAAGUUAAUACCUUUGCUUAUUGACGUUACCCGCAGAAGAAGCACCGGCUAACUCCGUG